Molecule: non-coding RNA, 23 nt
Filed under: Cricetulus griseus (Chinese hamster)
Lineage: Eukaryota; Metazoa; Chordata; Mammalia; Rodentia; Cricetidae
Source: RNAcentral
AACCUAUUGGAUUGGAAUCACAG